AAUAUAAUGAUGUAGAGGAUGUUGAUCUUCAAGAGUUGGAUAGUUUUGAAGAAGAAUAGACUUUUAGAGUUCUAGUAUUAUCUUUUGAAUUAUUGGGUCUUUAAAGUUCUAGACUUUUAGUAUCUACUUUUAGUUUUUGAAUUGAAAUAUUUGCUAAUAUAUGUUAUUGCUAUUGAGAUUUUGGAUAUUUAUAUAUGCAAUUAAAUAUUUUUAAUUUUUGGUAUUAAUUGGCGCCUCAAUUCAAAA
This 246-nucleotide long non-coding RNA is filed under the name Solanum tuberosum (potato). RNAcentral describes it as "long non-coding RNA (STUB_LNC003851)". The record is from RNAcentral. Lineage: Eukaryota; Viridiplantae; Streptophyta; Magnoliopsida; Solanales; Solanaceae.